Long non-coding RNA from Cynoglossus semilaevis (tongue sole), 3219 nucleotides. RefSeq lists it as uncharacterized. NCBI's taxonomy places the organism in Eukaryota, Metazoa, Chordata, Actinopteri, Pleuronectiformes, Cynoglossidae. The transcript has 2 exons. The record is from RefSeq and is a predicted model, not a curated record.
CGUGUAUUUACCGGGAGACGUAGGGCUGAAGUUUGUUGACGGACACUCGCAAGGAAUUGUGGGAGUGGAGAGCGCAAGUUGAUACCGCCGAUACUCAUCACAUCAGCUGUUCCUCUUCUGGAUACAGGGUCCCACACACAACCUGCUCGAGACUUAAAGCGGAACAUCGGAUCAAGCUAUUAUCCCAGGUUGGCCAACAACCCAGCGAGAAAGGUAUUACGGUAUCUUAUUCAUGAAUGAACAUGUCUGUUUAGUAAAUGUCACCGUGACGCAUGGAUUUUAUUUUAUACUUUAAGCUCUACUCGUAUGUUCCUGUGUAAUCCUUCAGUUUUGUAAUAGUAUGGAAUGUGGACGUGUAUUACUGCGCACCACUGUAGUACACCACACAAAUAUCAACAGAGAUUGAAAGUGUUGUAAAUGUGCACUGUCAGAUGGGUUAUUAGUUUUUAGUGAAGAAAAUCCAAUGGUGAUGGCAAUUAGUUAUAUCUAUGGUUAUUUUAAAAAAUGAAUAGGUUCUCAACUCCUUUACUUCUCUGAGAAGACUAAUUACAAAUAGUUGAUUUCAAAAGAAACGUUUUGAAACAUGAUUGUAAAAUGAUUUGAAAGAGACUCUAGAUUUAAUGAUGGAAACAUCUGUGGCUUUGGAGUUACAUACAUAAUACAUACAUUAGCUGAAGCAUUUACAAUUAGCAUAUGUAGCACCACCUGCAGGGGAAUUAAGGGGUUGCAUACUGCAUCUUGUAUUUUUGUUCAUUACAUAUUUGUUCCAAUAGUUUCCUAAUGCUUUUUUGAAAACGUUCAUUUUCAUUUCCUUACACUUUGUGUUCUUAUUAUGUCACUGUUGUACUUGCAGUGACAGCAGAGCAGUGAUGCAUACAGAAGAAAAAAAACACUCUAAAGAUGAUGUACAGUUAGUCUGCAUUUUUUAAUUAAUUUCUUACAUCUCCAAUGUACAGUAAUGUUAUUGGAAGAUAAGAUGACAAAAAGGCACAAAUUCACAAUAAAUUAAGGAAUAACGGGAGACAGGGCAACAGGGGUGAGAGAGUUAGAGGCAGAGACAAAGAGAGAGAGAGAAAGAGAGAGAGAGUAUGUAGGAGUUGAAAAACAGUUUUGAACAGUGGAGACAGCUGCUUUCAUUCUCUGGUUAUGAAUGGAUGAAUCCAACGACGGUUAUCCGUGAGAUUGUCUCUGUUAAACCACGUUCUCUCAGAUUCUGAUAAUGCUGCAAUGCAAUACAUUUGAUUUGUUCUUAAAAUGCCUCUGAAUGGGAUUUCUUCAGUCACCAGCAGAGGGCAAAAUCUGGCAUAAUUUGAUCUGCUGAUCAGAGUGGAUCAAUGAACCGAUCCAAGCUGCCUUUGUAGAGUGUGUUCCUUUUCAACAAUGGAGGCGAGAGUAGUUCAGAGACUGACCACAGAGAUACAACAACAUUUCAAACAAAAAUAUAUAUCUAUACACUUUCCCGGUUACAGGACGUGGUCCCUGUGAGGAAAGAAUGAGAUGAAGAGGAGGAAAUGAACAGGGUUUCUUUCUCUUUUUUUUAUAUUUUCCUGUCAGUAAAUUCCAGAUCUCAAAUGUUUUGCUGGGAUCAUCCCAAAAAGCGUAUGUAGUAUGGGGUACGUUAUGAUGUCUAUAGCUGACAAACCUCUUCAGAUGUGUUAUCAUCACUACAACUAUCACUCUACACGCCCUCACACCUCAGGGUGAGGUGCCAUUUGGUCACUGUGGUCUUUGUUAUCCUGAAAAUUCUCCAAAGGAAUGGGGUGAUUUAAGUGCCAAGGGGUUGUGUUUUAGGUUUGGCAGGACAGGUCUGGUCUAUAUAUAUAUAUAUAUUUAUAUUUCUAUCUUUAUUUAUGUGUUCAUCUACAGUAAUUUAUUUGCUAUUUACAAAGUCAGUACAUUACAGUACAUCCACAAAUCUCCAUGAUUCGGUUGGUAGCCCCGUCACUGAGUAUAGACAGACAAAGGACACAGAGAAAGAUGAAACCAUCUGUGGCCAGUGUUGUUACUUUAAAGAGGCUACGAUAUGGACGAAACCAUGAUGAGGUGUCAGAACAUGGCAAAAAAAAAAUCAUCAACAACAACAACAAACAAACAAACAAAAACGGUCUGCGCCACCAACAGUCUACAAGUCUAAACUGUUCUGAUUAUAUAAUCACCAACCAAGCCUGGCAACAUUUUCAAAAGUAACUUUAAGGUAUUAUAUUCUGUAAUUUAAAAAAUAAACCAAACACAACUUCACAUAAGAUCAGUCUCUUUCAGAUCUUCAUGGAUGCUGCCCUUUGUCUUCAUUUUCUAGAUUUCCUUUGAUUUUAGAAGAUUCCCUAAUGUUUCUCUAAAACAAAAUAACAGUAUAAUAGAAAUCCAGUAGGUGGCAGUAAUGUGACAAAGAAUGUAGGAAUGCCAUUCAGACCCAAAGAAGCCAAACUAAGAUUGGUUGGCAGGAUUAUCUUAUUACCGCAUUUUUUUGCAAUUCUUUGUUGUAGUUACUGUACAUAAUGAUGGAAACACUUGUUCCAGUACCGGUUUUUGCAGCACCCCCUGCAGGGGGGAAUGUUUGAAAAGAGGAAUCUAGAAUUUUACAUCUCUGCUUAAUCUAGGCAACUACUGAUGAACAUACAGCUUCGUUGUGUGUAAACUUUGUCACAGGAAUUGAUAAAUAUUUAUUUGAUUCGACUCUUGAUCAAUGCAUUUUACACACGCGAUGUAAAGAAUCAAACUUUUAAGUGUGCUUCCUUUUAGCUCUAUACUAGCUUUUUAUUCCACACCACUCCGUGACCUCUUUAAGUUCCCACACUGUUAACAAUGAGUGCCGAAUAUGAAAUGUGAAGAAUGGGUGAAAAGGAAAAUAGAAAUGCCAAACAGACAUCAGUGAGAAGUAGGAAGGCUGAGCCUCGCGACUACAUCCCCCUCCAACUCCAGCAUUAGUCUUCAGAAACACACCAUUGUACCUCACUCACGUACACCCAUGCAUAUACCACAACACCACACUAUCACAAACAACAGACUCCAGGUUCCAGCAGGAGAAAAAACCCCCACUGCAACUAAAGACGGACACAAUCAAAUCAACACCUGGUAAAUACAAUGACCCAAAACUCACUCACUUUCUGAGUGAACGGCAGCACAAAACGUAGAUCUGUGGCGAUAAAAACAGAGAAUCAUGUCUGAUGGUAGUUAUUGCUUGUACUGGAUAAAACCUUUUUAUCCACGGCAGAAAUGAUG